RNAcentral lists this ribosomal RNA (305 nucleotides) under uncultured bacterium. Its description in RNAcentral is "bacterial SSU rRNA". It matches the Rfam family "Bacterial small subunit ribosomal RNA", at positions 330 to 656 of the family's 1533-position model. The record is from RNAcentral.
UCCAGCCUACGGGGCGCAGCAGUGGGGAAUAUUGCACAAUGGGCGCAAGCCUGAUGCAGCGACGCCGCGUGAGUGAAGAAGUAAUUCGUUAUGUAAAGCUCUAUCAGUAGGGAAGAAAAUGACGGUACCUGAGUAAGAAGCCCCGGCUAACUACGUGCCAGCAGCCGCGGUAAUACGGAGGAUGCGAGCGUUAUCCGGAUUUAUUGGGUUUAAAGGGUGCGUAGGCGGUCCGGAAAGUCAGCGGUAAAAGCCCGGGGCUCAACCCCGGCGAGCCGUUGAAACUGUCGGACUAGAGACGGCGAGAA